CAGCAGCCGCGGGAAUACGAGGGGGGCAAGCGUUGUUCGGAUUUAUUGGGCGUAAAGGGUGCGUAGGCGGUUUGGCAAGUCUUGUGUGAAAUCUUCGGGCUCAACCCGAAGCCUGCACGAGAAACUACCGGGCUUGAGUAUUGGAGAGGUGAGUGGAAUUUCCGGUGUAGCGGUGAAAUGCGUAGAUAUCGGAAGGAACACCUGUGGCGAAAGCGGCUCACUGGACAAUAACUGACGCUGAUGCACGAAAGCUAGGGGAGCAAACAGGAUUAGAUACCCCCGUAGUCCCUGUCUCUUAUAC
Molecule: ribosomal RNA, 301 nt
Filed under: uncultured bacterium
Lineage: Bacteria
Description: partial 16S ribosomal RNA
Rfam family: Bacterial small subunit ribosomal RNA
Source: RNAcentral